AAGACCCUGUCGUGAACGUGAUGGGCAAAAGCAUUUGACCCAGUAAUUUUUUAAAAGGGAAUCCUUCCAUGAGGUGGUGAGUCAUUUCCAAUCGGAUUUGAACCUAAAGCCCCAUUUUGGAUGCCCACCUGGCCAAGGCUGGGUUCAUAGCUUAACUCACACGGCACAAUGAUGGGGUCGAC
Molecule: non-coding RNA, 182 nt
Filed under: Nitrospinota bacterium
Lineage: Bacteria; Pseudomonadati; Nitrospinota
Description: 6S RNA
Rfam family: 6S / SsrS RNA
About the family: E. coli 6S RNA was the first non coding RNA to be sequenced, but its function was unknown until recently.
Source: RNAcentral